GGCGGGGUAGCUCAGUUGGUUAGAGCGUGGGACUCAUAACCCCAAGGUCGGCAGUUCAACUCUGCCUCCCGCUACCA
Molecule: transfer RNA, 77 nt
Filed under: Agrobacterium sp. a22-2
Lineage: Bacteria; Pseudomonadati; Pseudomonadota; Alphaproteobacteria; Hyphomicrobiales; Rhizobiaceae
Also listed under: 1 other name
Description: tRNA-Met
Rfam family: tRNA
About the family: Transfer RNA (tRNA) molecules are approximately 80 nucleotides in length. Their secondary structure includes four short double-helical elements and three loops (D, anti-codon, and T loops). Further hydrogen bonds mediate the characteristic L-shaped molecular structure. tRNAs have two regions of fundamental functional importance: the anti-codon, which is responsible for specific mRNA codon recognition, and the 3' end, to which the tRNAs corresponding amino acid is attached (by aminoacyl-tRNA synthetases). tRNAs cope with the degeneracy of the genetic code in two manners: having more than one tRNA (with a specific anti-codon) for a particular amino acid; and 'wobble' base-pairing, i.e. permitting non-standard base-pairing at the 3rd anti-codon position.
Source: RNAcentral